UAGCAGCUCAUAACACCUCUCCACUUCAGUUUCUUUCCCACGCGCAUUAGAAAUUUCACCUUUCCCUUUUCAAUUCUUCCCCAACGCGUUCGGUUUCCUACGAUCACCCCCCAAGAUUUCCCCACCAUCAGCUAUUCCAUUUCCGGCAGUAUCCUCCUCCAUCAUCGCCGCUUCUACUCCGACUAAACCAGUAUCACCUCUGUCACCGGUGUCCCUUCCGAACCCUUUCUCUGCCCUCAUUUCAGGCAACGGGUCCGAUUGAACAUCACCACUGCACCACCCACGACGGUUUGGUCUGGUCGUCGUGAUGCCACCGCCCCACCCUCUCCGCUCUUUCUUUCUGACCCCCCCUGUUCGCUCUCUCCCCCAGUUGUACAAGCAAACGGUGCUGAUCAAGGUGUCCAUGGAUUGCCCCAAGUGCAGGAUAGAAGCCUUGAAGAUUGCAUCUAUCGUUUCAGAUGAUGAAACUGAUCGAAUAGGCGGUGUCUGAUAAUUUUGCUCGUGGAUGAUUUAACUUAAAUGUACUGCAAGAGCCCAGAUUAUUGCUCUGUUUGAAGGAAUUAAUCGAAGUAUG
Molecule: long non-coding RNA, 574 nt
Organism: Juglans regia (Persian walnut)
Lineage: Eukaryota; Viridiplantae; Streptophyta; Magnoliopsida; Fagales; Juglandaceae
Exons: 3
Source: RefSeq, a predicted model, not a curated record